Molecule: ribosomal RNA, 391 nt
Filed under: uncultured bacterium
Lineage: Bacteria
Description: bacterial SSU rRNA
Rfam family: Bacterial small subunit ribosomal RNA
Source: RNAcentral
AAUGGGCGGAAGCCUGAUGCAGCGACGCCGCGUGGGGGAUGACGGCCUUCGGGUUGUAAACUCCUUUCACCAUCGACGAAGGUUUUCUGACGGUAGAUGGAGAAGAAGCACCGGCUAACUACGUGCCAGCAGCCGCGGUAAUACGUAGGGUGCGAGCGUUGUCCGGAAUUACUGGGCGUAAAGAGCUCGUAGGUGGUUUGUCGCGUCGUCUGUGAAAUUCCGGGGCUUAACUCCGGGCGUGCAGGCGAUACGGGCAUAACUUGAGUACUGUAGGGGAGACUGGAAUUCCUGGUGUAGCGGUGAAAUGCGCAGAUAUCAGGAGGAACACCGGUGGCGAAGGCGGGUCUCUGGGCAGUAACUGACGCUGAGGAGCGAAAGCAUGGGUAGCGAA